AACGAACGCUGGCGGCAUGCCUAACACAUGCAAGUCGAACGAGACCUUCGGGUCUAGUGGCGCACGGGUGCGUAACGCGUGGGAACCUGCCCUUAGGUUCGGAAUAACUCCCCGAAAGGGGUGCUAAUACCGGAUAAUUUCUUCUGCCCAAUGAUUUAUCGCCUUUGGAUGGGCCCGCGUUGGAUUAGCUAGUUGGUAGGGUAAAAGCCAACCAAGGCUACGAUCCAUAGCUGGUCUGAGAGGAUGAUCCGCCACACUGGGAGUGAGACCAGGCCCAGACUCCUACGGGAGGCAGCAGUGGGGAAUAUUGGACAAUGGGCGAAAGCCUGAUCCAGCAAUGCCGCGUGAGUGAUGAAGGCCUUAGGGUUGUAAAGCUCUUUUAACCGGGAUGAUAAUGACAGUACCGGGAGAAUAAGCGCCGGCUAACUCCGUG
This 433-nucleotide ribosomal RNA is filed under the name uncultured bacterium. Its description in RNAcentral is "partial 16S ribosomal RNA". It matches the Rfam family "Bacterial small subunit ribosomal RNA", at positions 29 to 507 of the family's 1533-position model. The record is from RNAcentral.